UCAUAAACAUAAAAUAAACAUGCUGGGGGACUACGAGCUAUGGCUUAAAACCUAAAGAAAUUGGCGGCAUUUUUUAACCUAUUAGGGGAACUUGUCUCAUAAUCGAUAAUCCGCGUUAAACCUGACCUAAGAUAGAGAAGCAGUCUGUAUACCUUUGUCAUAAGUUCACUUUGUUAAAAAUAAAGAAGUUAGCAUAAUAAUUUUGAGUUUUGAUGUCAGAUCAAGGUGCAGCUAAUUCUUAGGGAGGGAUGAGUUACAAUUAAGGAUUUUUAAUUACGGAAAUUUAAACUGAAAGGUUAAUUGAAGGUGGACUUAAAAGUAAUUUAAUGUAUAUAUAAAUUAUUUGAAUUUGGGCCU
RNAcentral lists this ribosomal RNA (357 nucleotides) under Leptopoma perlucidum. RNAcentral describes it as "partial 12S ribosomal RNA". It matches the Rfam family "Bacterial small subunit ribosomal RNA", at positions 875 to 1375 of the family's 1533-position model. Lineage: Eukaryota; Metazoa; Mollusca; Gastropoda; Architaenioglossa; Cyclophoridae. The record is from RNAcentral.